This 318-nucleotide long non-coding RNA is filed under the name Populus tremula. Its description in RNAcentral is "long non-coding RNA (PTRE_LNC002620)". Lineage: Eukaryota; Viridiplantae; Streptophyta; Magnoliopsida; Malpighiales; Salicaceae. The record is from RNAcentral.
AUGGGGCAAGUCUCUUGCUUCGGUGGUGUUGGUGGUGGCUUCACGAUUGGUGGUGUUGGUGGUGGCUUCACGAUUGGUGGUGUUGGUUUUACUGGAGGAGGAGGGCAUGGCGUUUCAGGCUUUGGUGGCUUCACGGCUGGUGGUUUUGGUGGAGGCUUGACUUUGGGAGGUUUUGCUGGUGGCUUAGGUUUGGGUGGGGAAGGGCAAGAGGGACAGGCAAGUGAAGUAAGCAAAGCACCCAAGCUCAAAAGAAGAAUCAAGAGAUUAGCCACAGCAAACUUAGCCAUCGUGUCUACUUACUUGACUGAGUUCUCAAGU